CCUACGGGGGGCAGCAGUGAGGAAUAUUGGUCAAUGGCCGGAAGGCUGAACCAGCCAAGCCGCGUGAAGGACGAAGGUGCCAAGCAGUGUAAACUUCUUUUGUCAAGGGACAAAAUCAGGCUCGAGAGCCUGACCGAGGGUACUUGAAGAAAAAGCAUCGGCUAACUCCGUGCCAGCAGCCGCGGUAAUACGGGGGAUGCGAGCGUUAUCCGGAUUUAUUGGGUUUAAAGGGUGCGUAGGCGGGCUGUUCAGUCAGCGGUAAAAGCCCGGGGCUCAACCCCGGCGGGCCGUUGAAACUGGCUGUCUUGAGCUGUCGAGAGGUAUGCGGAAUGCGCAGUGUAGCGGU
This 346-nucleotide ribosomal RNA is filed under the name uncultured bacterium. Its description in RNAcentral is "partial 16S ribosomal RNA". It matches the Rfam family "Bacterial small subunit ribosomal RNA", at positions 338 to 682 of the family's 1533-position model. The record is from RNAcentral.